UACGGAGGGGGCAAGCGUUGUCCGGACUUACUGGGCGUAAAGGGUGCGUAGGCGGCCUUCUAAGUCGAACGUGAAAUCCCCGGGCUCAACCCGGGAACUGCGUCCGAUACUGGGAGGCUUGAAUCCGGGAGAGGGAUGUGGAAUUCCAGGUGUAGCGGUGAAAUGCGUAGAUAUCUGGAGGAACACCGGUGGCGAAGGCGGCAUCCUGGACCGGUAUUGACGCUGAGGCGCGAAAGCCAGGGGAGCAACGGG
Molecule: ribosomal RNA, 252 nt
Filed under: uncultured bacterium
Lineage: Bacteria
Description: partial 16S ribosomal RNA
Rfam family: Bacterial small subunit ribosomal RNA
Source: RNAcentral